Molecule: ribosomal RNA, 210 nt
Filed under: uncultured bacterium
Lineage: Bacteria
Description: partial 16S ribosomal RNA
Rfam family: Bacterial small subunit ribosomal RNA
Source: RNAcentral
GUUCAGAUUGCAGUCUGCAACUCGACUGCAUGAAGUCGGAAUCGCUAGUAAUCGCGGAUCAGCAUGCCGCGGUGAAUACGUUCCCGGGCCUUGUACACACCGCCCGUCACACCAUGAGAGUCGGGAACACCCGAAGUCCGUAGCCUAACCGCAAGGGGGGCGCGGCCGAAGGUGGGUUCGAUAAUUGGGGUGAAGUCGUAACAAGGUACC